Molecule: ribosomal RNA, 484 nt
Filed under: uncultured bacterium
Lineage: Bacteria
Description: bacterial SSU rRNA
Rfam family: Bacterial small subunit ribosomal RNA
Source: RNAcentral
AAUCAACGCUGGCGGCGUGCCUCAGACAUGCAAGUCGAACGAUUAAAGCUCUCUUCGGAGAGUGUAUAGAGUGGCGCACGGGUGAGUAACACGUAAGUAAUCUACCUUUGAGUGGGGAAUAACAGUCGGAAACGACUGCUAAUACCGCAUAAUGCAGCGGCAUCGCAAGAUGACAGUUGUUAAAGGAGCAAUCCGCUUAAAGAGGAGCUUGCGGCAGAUUAGCUUGUUGGUAAGGUAACGGCUUACCAAGGCUACGAUCUGUAUCCGGUCUAAGAGGACGGUCGGACACACUGACACUGAAUAACGGGUCAGACUCCUACGGGAGGCAGCAGUCGGGAAUUUUGGGCAAUGGGCGAAAGCCUGACCCAGCAACGCCGCGUGAAGGAUGAAGUAAUUUCGGUAUGUAAACUUCGAAAGAAUGGGAAGAAUCAAUGACGGUACCAUUUAUAAGCUCCGGCUAACUACGUGCCAGCCGCCGCGGUAA